This 440-nucleotide ribosomal RNA is filed under the name Tomthompsonia antarctica. Its description in RNAcentral is "partial 16S ribosomal RNA". The record is from RNAcentral. Lineage: Eukaryota; Metazoa; Mollusca; Gastropoda; Pleurobranchida; Pleurobranchidae.
MGCUUAAAGAAUACGUYUUAGGUGUAAUCUGCUCAGUGUUAAGAUUUAUAUAAAUAGCCGCGGUACUUUGACCGUGCAAAGGUAGCAUAAUAAGUUGGCCUUUAAAUGGGGUCGGGUAUGAAUGAAAGAACGUAGCUAAGCUGUCUCAUAACUAUUUUAUCGAAUUUACUGUAUAGAUGAAAAAGUCUAUAGAAAUAUAAAAGACGAGAAGACCCUCAGAAUUUAAGUGAUAUUAAAAAAGUUUUUAGAAUAUUUUUGUUGGGGCGACAAGGAAACAAAUUGAACUUUCUUAAACUAAUAAGACGAUUAUUAUAAGUGAGAAUAAAUUACCUGAGGGAUAACAGCAUAAUUUAAAAAAUGAGUUUGUGACCUCGAUGUUGGACUAGGAAAUUGAUAGAUUAGCCGUUUAUUACAUAGGUUCUGUUCGAACUAUUUUUCCU